GUCUUCGAUAGAUAUGGUUGAAUGUGAUUAUAGAAACGGCGUCAAUGGAAUAUUCAGCCAUCAACCACUUACGACAUUGGCGAGUGCAGCUUUGUCAUUCUUGUCUAUGGGCACACUCAGAGGACCUUCCAGCAAUGUUAUGAUAUCUUCAAGAGCUUGCCGAUACUGCCGGAUGAUGACUGUGGGGUGCAUUUGUUGCUCCAGAAAUUGUUCAGCGGCAGCCAACAUUUCCCCAGCCAAUACUAUAACUGAAGUUGUUCCAUCACCAACCUGUAAAAUAACAGAUUUGAAUAUACCUGAUUAACUAAAA
Molecule: long non-coding RNA, 310 nt
Organism: Dendroctonus ponderosae (mountain pine beetle)
Lineage: Eukaryota; Metazoa; Arthropoda; Insecta; Coleoptera; Curculionidae
Exons: 2
Source: RefSeq, a predicted model, not a curated record